Molecule: ribosomal RNA, 512 nt
Filed under: Culex pipiens pipiens
Lineage: Eukaryota; Metazoa; Arthropoda; Insecta; Diptera; Culicidae
Description: eukaryotic LSU rRNA
Rfam family: 5.8S ribosomal RNA (bases 1-137)
Source: RNAcentral
AUCACUCGGCUCGUGGAUCGAUGAAGACCGCAGCUAAAUGCGCGUCAGAAUGUGAACUGCAGGACACAUGAACACCGACAAGUUGAACGCAUAUUGCACAUCGUACAACAGUACGAUGUACACAUUUUUGAGUGCCUAUAUUUAUCUAUUCAACUGUGCACGCAGUGCACGCAGAAGGGUGUUUUGCUGCCUUCGGUGGCUGGCAAAACAUUCAAGACGCUCAGCGGCUCGGGGUUUUCGUUCGCGGACGGCCACACUGGUGCGCACGCACGCGACUGAACGGACGACGACGGUGAGAAUACAUCCCACACACCAACCUGGCUUGGGCGCCGAUGUAGCAUCUCUCACGCCGCCACGUCGUCGUCACACGUUCGUUCGGUCAUCCGGCGUCGUCGCGGUACCGCGUCCACAGAACAGAACAACCCAACACACGAGCAGCGAACGACAAGCGAUAAGAUAAACCCCCCAUGUAGGCCUCAAAUAAUGUGUGACUACCCCCUAAAUUUAAGCAU